Molecule: transfer RNA, 73 nt
Filed under: Marmota monax (woodchuck)
Lineage: Eukaryota; Metazoa; Chordata; Mammalia; Rodentia; Sciuridae
Description: tRNA.Ala
Rfam family: tRNA
About the family: Transfer RNA (tRNA) molecules are approximately 80 nucleotides in length.
Source: RNAcentral
UGUGGAUGUAGCUCAACGGUAGAGCACUUGCCUGGCAUGUGUGAGGCACUGAGUUCAAUCCUCAGCAGCAUAU